This 1163-nucleotide unclassified non-coding RNA is filed under the name Hevea brasiliensis (rubber tree). The record is from RNAcentral. Lineage: Eukaryota; Viridiplantae; Streptophyta; Magnoliopsida; Malpighiales; Euphorbiaceae.
UUGGAAUUGUUUAUUCAGAAUUUCUUGUCCUUUAAUGAAUGCUGGAGCUCAUUGAUGCUUUGCUAACUAUAAUCUCCUUAUCACAAAUAAUAGAAUUCUCUGAAAUUGGACUAAAAGUGCAUAGCAGAAAAGAUAACAACUGACUCAUCAAAAUAAGAUUUAAACUUUAGACUCCCUAACUUUAGGAAAGGAAAAGAGUGUUCUUGCACCAUGGAGACCGCAUGCGCGUGAAGUAUGUACCUAUUCGUAGUUUGCACUUUGCAUGUUGAUGGAUGUAUCAAUGAUACUUUGGCAAGAUACUAGGAAGAUAAAAUGCUUGGCAUAUGUGAAGCAAUGGAUUCAUAAAUUAUGAACCUAAUUAGAUUUAACAUUUUAAUUUUUUUUUUAUUUGAUAUAAUAAUUUCAUGGAUUAUGCUAUGUUCAUAAACAGUUUCCAUGUCCUCCAGAAACACAUUCAAUGAACAGGUGGUGAUUUCUCUCUUUUGUGAUUCCUAGAGGACUUUCUAGGACCUUAUUUUGCAAAUUUAAGAAGUUUGCAAAAAUCUAAGCCCACACUCCCACCAGGUUUGCAUUUGCUUCCUAAAUCCAAUUAACCAGAAUAAACAAGAUUAUAAUAUCAAAAUUAUUUAGACAUGCCAAGCACUUCUAUCCAAGUAUCCAUGCUUCCUUGGUUGUAUUUCAGGCAAACUUACAACUAAAUCUCAAGCUCACCUGAAGUUUAUCAGCUCUAUUUUAUUCAAAGAAAAAAUAGACAUUAUUUUAGGGCCUCAAGUUUUAAUCCUGCCUAGAAAGAUAAAUAACCAUCAUGCAACUCAUAAUCCUAAAUUUAUCUGUUUCAUUUGAAAACAAAUAAACAAUAUCCGACAAGUAUUUAGUAAUCAUUCAGAUCAAAAUCAAGAAAAUGCUAGUUUGUUGUUGAAUAGAAAUAAGGAAUGUCAGUCUUCGACAACCACUGAACUAACCAUAAAUUAAAAUCCAGUCCCUCCACUAUCACCUUAACCCAACUUAAUUAGGUCUUGAUUGCCUUAUUCCCAAGCUUGUUAGGGUAAGAAUAUUGUUGCAAGAUUCUACUUUUCUCCUACUUAAUUGGAAUGGAAAGUGAGAUGUAAACAUCAGUUCAUCUCCCUUCAUGACAGACGGGGAAACUCACUUUACAAAGUGAU